GCUGUCCCAAGGCCUCUCUCUUGACAGGAGGGUGCCCUUUGUCACCAGCCUGAGCUCAUGAUGGGGUCACCGCCCCCUCCCCCUGCCAAAUGCACAGGUCCCCAGGCUGCACCUCUUCCUGCAUUGCCUCCCAGGGAAAGGGCUUCCUUCAGUGUACAGGGCAGCCAGUGGUAAGUGAGGCCAGUCUAGCAUCCCUCCUGAGAGGGGAUGCCACAUAGCCUCCGUCAACCACUACUAGAAUCCUAAAAUGCAUUCACACAGGAGACAAAAACAUACCCAGUCCUGACCACCCAGCCAGCGAGACAUCACACAGAUGCACCACCUUCACGCAGUGCUCAGCCAUCCUGAUGCUUCUGCUACAUCGUAGGCCACUGUCAUUGUCACCAGUGGCGACCACACCACCUUCCUCCCAAUCUAUUCUCUUUACACACAUUGGUCCUGCAUCUGGCUCCUCUAACCAUCCAGGUCACUGAGGAAGGCAGGACCGAGUUGUAGGCAUCAGCCCAUAUUGGGUCCCCCAGAGUCACUCUAUUCCACUUGGUCCCCACCAUGACACCUAUACCAGCCACACUGAUGCUGAUCCCAGCUGACGUCAGUCACAAGCCCACACAGUUAAUGCAGGCUCUCCCUCCCCCACUGUGGCUCAUAGAGAAGUUUGGGGCUAGCCUCCACCAGCCAAGUUUGAAGCAAGAAGGGAGCUAGGGCCUCCCAGGACCAAGGCGCUGUGUGGGUUGUCCCUGGUCUCCAUGUAUCUCCUUUCUGCUCUGAGCCAGGAGCUGUCUCUGCCUCCCAGGACACGUGUCUCCAAAGUGCCUGUGAGGGUGGGCUCCGCCCAGGCCCUCUGUGUCCCCUGCCCUGCCCUGGCCUGGUGAGGCCAACCUCAGGCCUACCUACCCUGGGUCCUUUCUGUGGACACAACUGACCAGGCAACUUGGCAGUUCUGGCUAUAUCCAGAUGAACCCAUAGCCCACCAGGCUCAUCCCAAUGCUAUAGGCUCUGAGAAUCAUUGAUGGGGACAAGGGUGUCACAGGCCUCAAGUCUACCAUCCUGUCUCUGUUAUCCUUAGAAGUGGGGCUAUUUCAGAGGUAUUUAAAAUGUGGGGGGUCACCAUUCUCUUUGUGAAAGGGCCAUGCCGAAGGAGCUCUCAGCACCAAAGGGACACAGCUUGGGUAGUGACUGGCCGGCACCCCUCCACCAUCUCUCACAUGUCCCAGGUUCAGUCAGGUGACCACAUGGUUUCUUUCUGUUUCAUUUUAAAGAAUCCCUGACAGCAGAGUUGGGCAGACUGAAGAACCACAUCUGGGUAAUGGACAGGAUCUAGGCAGUUGGCACAGCUUGUCUUUCUGGGGUGGGGGUGGAGGGGGUGUCCCCCUGUCAGGCUCUGUUCUGUCUUCCAGACCUCCAUGACUCCCUUGAUGGGACUUUAGAGUUUUGUAAGCCAGUCGGCCUGGUCUUUAAGUGGGGGGGAAGGAAUGAGAGGCGUCCUAAACCCAUGAGAUGUGGAGGAGGGAGCUUGGCCAAGAUCUUCCCUGCAGCAGGGGCUGGGUAGGGCGUAGAGGAGAGCCAGUGUCCCAGACCCUCCCACUCCUCCCUGGUAAGCUGCAGUCUUGGGGACUAGAGCUUUGGAAAGAGAGGCUCAGCAGCUGGGCGAGGCAACCUCCAGGUACUCAGCCCAAGGGGACACCACGACCAGGGCAGGAGGCCCCAGCUUCUGUGUUGGGCUAGGGUUCACUUCUCACAUCUCAGGGUGGCUCUGGCCCUGGGGCUAUGGGUUUGGCAUCCUGAUACCAGCAUCCUUAAUGUGUCAGCAUCUGAGAGAAGAGGCAGUGGGUCUUAAGUAUGGGGUCCGGGCUCCAAGGCCAACGCCUAGGCUUCAUGGCCAUGGCGUUUGACCUGAAGGUUAAUGGUGUGAGCAGCCCAGAUAAACUGGGCUAGCCUGGUGAGGCCAGGACGAUUUAAGAGAACUCAGUUCCAAGGGUGAACUGAAUUCUUCCUAGUGCAAUGUGGGUGCGGGGUUCCCACCCUGCCCCAGAAACAGUGCGGUACAUACAGAGCCUGUCCAAAGGAGUCCAGAGACACCUCAGUGCUCCUGGGAAGGUAUUCAGGACACCGGCUUGCCUGGAGACACAAUGCAUUCUGAAUCAGAGGUGGUGAUGUGUCCUGGACUUCUCUGGGCCCUGGUUUCCCUAGAGAGUAAGACAUGCUGGGGCCAGAGCACUGAAGAGCUAAGCUUCAUCUCUCUUGGGGGCCAGACUAGGGACUCUAUGUGUAAGGUUGAUUCUCCUUGAUUGCCAGAGGCAUGUGGGUGACAGCCAGGACUGGCUGAGCAGAUCUGCAGCAAGAGCUUAGGAUGCUGGGGCCAGACCCCCUGGGCUUGGCUUAGCUACUCAUCAGGCCUCCUGGCUGGGGCUCGAGCUUCAGAGAGCAGAGCCAACGCUGCUCUCAGGGCAGUUGUGGCUCCCUGGGCUGUCCUGGCUUUCUCCUGGGAUGUGCCUCCCAGCCUUGGUGUCUGUAAAUAGAAGCCCACACUGUACAGAUCUACAGAGAGGCCCAAACUGGGCUCUGGUGUCACCAUCUGAGGGGCUGAUGGCCUGGCUUCCCCCAGGUGCCCUGUGGGUGCUUGGGUAUGCCUGGCCCCGGCGUGGUGAAUGCAUGUAAAUACUUCGUAGACAGUGUGGCUCCAGAGAGCCCCCUGAGACAGUGUCCCCCCCACCUUACUGGUUCAUCCUCUCUCCUGUACAGAGCCCUCCCAGCCCCUGGGCCACCAGGAUCAGGGGUUACCUCCCUUCCCCAGACCUUUCCUACCCGUUCUCUCCCUAUAACCUGUUUAUUAACCAACCCUGUCCUGAGUUCAUGGCCAAAACUUAAAUAAGAGAAGGAGGAGAGGGUCAGAUGGAUAAAGAUAAAGAUACCAAGGCCUGGUCCAUCCUUACCAUGGGCGCUCGUACACCCCUGGCUUGGGAAGGACAGGGCUUGCUUUGUUUUGUUUUCUGUUAGUUUUUGUUUUUUAACAUUUCCCUGUGCUGUGCCCAUUUAUAAGAGGAAAUAAAAUUAAGC
This 3057-nucleotide long non-coding RNA is filed under the name Mus musculus (house mouse). RNAcentral's name for it is "long non-coding RNA chr4:130823252-130826309". Lineage: Eukaryota; Metazoa; Chordata; Mammalia; Rodentia; Muridae. The record is from RNAcentral.